RNAcentral lists this ribosomal RNA (497 nucleotides) under uncultured bacterium. Its description in RNAcentral is "partial 16S ribosomal RNA". It matches the Rfam family "Bacterial small subunit ribosomal RNA", at positions 28 to 507 of the family's 1533-position model. The record is from RNAcentral.
GAUGAACGCUGGCGGCGUGCCUAAUACAUGCAAGUCGAGCGAACAGACGAGGAGCUUGCUCCUCUGACGUUAGCGGCGGACGGGUGAGUAACACGUGGAUAACCUACCUAUAAGACUGGGAUAACUUCGGGAAACCGGAGCUAAUACCGGAUAAUAUAUUGAACCGCAUGGUUCAAUAGUGAAAGACGGUUUUGCUGUCACUUAUAGAUGGAUCCGCGCCGCAUUAGCUAGUUGGUAAGGUAACGGCUUACCAAGGCAACGAUGCGUAGCCGACCUGAGAGGGUGAUCGGCCACACUGGAACUGAGACACGGUCCAGACUCCUACGGGAGGCAGCAGUAGGGAAUCUUCCGCAAUGGGCGAAAGCUUGACGGAGCAACGCCGCGUGAGUGAUGAAGGUCUUCGGAUCGUAAAACGCUGUUAUUAGGGAAGAACAAAUGUGUAAGUAACUAUGCACGUCUUGACGGUACCUAAACAGAAAGCCACGGCUAACUACGUG